AGGGCAGAAAAUAAUUCAAGGCCCAGCUAUUCUGUGACACUUAUUCCUUAGGGGUACAAACAAUGACUGCUGCCAAAGAUCAUUGUUGACUCUCCAGCACAAUUGAGUUCUUGUGAUAUCACAGACUGACAGGUGACAUGGUGGAUCCCCACCAGGACUCUGCCCUUACUAAUUUCCUCCUCUAGGUCAGAAAAUCUCCAACAUGAGCUGAAACAAUCCACAGCUCAGGACGAGAGCCUCCUGCCAACAGAGCUGCUGCAGCAGGAGCACCAAGUGUCAUAAACAACACCCUUUAUGAGAACUGAGAAGGCUGAAGGAAUCCAUAGGCAACCAGAACCCCUGACAUUCUCUACUCUAUGAUCAAGGCCUCCUCAGAACAAGACAUGUACUACUAGUUGUGAAAUCACCAGUGAGGCAAAUAUCAUCUGCCCUGCAGGUCGUCCAUCCAUAAUCUGAUCCAUGUGUCUGUUGACUCACUACUUAUGGAAUUAAGAAACCAUCGAGAAGAUACUUGAGAUUCAAAAAAAUUAACACCAAGAAUUAUGCGGAAAAAGCUGACAUCUACCAGCAAGUGUUCCCAGUGAGGGCCACAACAACAUGGACAAAGAGUAUGAUUCUGCUCAUAGUUACUCUGAAAGUUUAUUGCUACAAAUUUUUGUUAGCUGACUGAGUCUUCAGCCCUUCAUAUGUGGAGGGAGAUAUGUCAACAGAGACUGUGUUGAUGUCAUGCUGCUAUCCAGACAGACGACACAAAGGAAGUAUCAUAUUCUCACUCCAGUCCAGUGCUGGACCUACUCAAUGUCAUGCACAUGUGAUGGUGAAGUGAAUUGUUAUGAGAGAUGAUUUAGGAAGGAUGCCACCAUGAGCUUUUAUGUCUUUGGGCAGCAAAUGCUCCCCAUGUCCUUUUUUGCUCUUGAAUGGGCACAUAGACACAUGUUGGCUGACAGAAUCAUAUAGUGGCCAACAUAGCAUAAGAUCAACUUUGGCAACGGCCUAACCUAAGAGCCCCAAAGUGGCAUGACUACACUUGUCUUGAAGAGGGUAUUUCAAUUCAGGGUUGUCUUCCAACUUGUGUCCAAAGCCAGCCACAGGGUGUAGGACAGUGCACUAAAUCUGCACGAUGAGAAUGCUUCUUAGUGUAAAUAGUUUUGGUUUGUUUGGGGGUUUGCAUGAAUUUAGGUUUUGUUGUUCUUUGUUUUGUUUUGCUGUUUUUUAAUUUUUUGGUUCUUUGUUCUUUCUUUGAUUUUAUAUUUGGCUAAGGCUAUACACUGGAUAUACUAAGUGCCCUUUUAAGCCCCUAUUCAGUCAAAUUUCUGUAAUUUCACAAAUAAAAAAAGUAACUUCCAACUCUUCAUUCUUU
Peromyscus maniculatus bairdii (prairie deer mouse) is the source of this 1360-nucleotide non-coding RNA. NCBI's taxonomy places the organism in Eukaryota, Metazoa, Chordata, Mammalia, Rodentia, Cricetidae. The record is from RefSeq and is a predicted model, not a curated record.